GUAUAAAAGGCGAGAGAAAAGUCGAUAGGGAUCAGUCGAGCGAGUAUCUCCGACACGGUAAGAGCUGCUGUGCAUUAUUUGCUAUCAGGCAUCAGCUGCAAUCUUCGUCGUAUUGUCAGUUAAUUUUCAGUGAAUCGUAUGUAAGGGCAAAGAAAAGGCGAAAGAAAUCAGUCGAGUGAAUAUUUCCGAUAUACAAGAGCUAAAGUGCACCACAUGUCACCAACUGCAUUCUUCGUCGCGCUACCAGUUUCAUUCAUGGGUGAAUAUUCUGUUUUUUUCUGUGUCGACCACUGGUGUACCGAUGAUUCUUGGGUGUGGCGGAUACCAAAGCACUACACUCCCGCCUUACUACACAACAUACAACACAACCAGUUGCUACACCAAUGCUUUAAAUACUACUCCACCAAGGAACCAGAGUGUUACACACCUACAAAUGCCGCGCCAGCUUAUUACACCGAGGCUCCCUAACACAACACCACCAAGUCAUUGGAGUACUACACCACUACAUAUCAUGGUAUGAAAGGAGAGAAAAGGUGAAAGAAUUCAGCAGCCGAGUGAGCAUCUCCGUUACGGCAUUAGGAAAUGCCGUGCACUAUUUGUCAACAACUUCAUUCUUCAUCGAAUUCCAAGUUUUAAAUUAAGUAAACUAUGGCGUCGUGCUGCUGUUGGGUGUUGUAUCGUUGAUGGUUGUUGGUUCAGCCAUGGUGUACCGAUAUCUCCAGGGUAUGGUGGGUACCAACAACAACACCACGAAGGCAGCGGAGUACUACACCACGAAGGCAGCGGAGUACUACACCACGAAGGCAGCGGAAUACUACACCACGAAGGCAGCAGAGUACUACACUACAUCCUACGCUGCUCCAAAGGCCCCGAGCUCGAGCUCUAUCACCAAGUCACCGGAGUAUUACACAACUACGUAUGCAGCGCCAGCUUACUACACCGUCGUAUAAAAGGAGAGAGAAGAGUCAAAUGAAAUCAGUCGAUGGAGCAUCUCCGACACGUCGUAUUAAAGGAGACAACAGGUGAUCAUUUCCGACAUGGCAAUAACUGCGGUGCACUAUUCGUUACCAACUGCAUUCUUCGUCGUACCACCAGUUUGCUAUCAUGGUUACAAUGGAAAAAUUCGUUGUUCACGCUUGUAGUUCACAAGAAACGUUUCGUAAAACUGGCAUGCGGUGGUGUAGAGGUUAGGUGAGAACCGGACGUUUUCCAUCAUUAUCAAAAAGUAAAAUAUCGAGCUGCUGCUGCUAUCGUCGUCGUGCUGAUGUUGGGUGUCGUAUUGGCUCGGUCAACCACUGGUGUACUGAUGUCUUUUGGGUAUGGUGGUUAUGAAACCGCAACGCCGCACGUUACUACACCGAGGCCUCCAAGUACUUCACCACCAAGUCUCCAGAUUAUUACACCACAACUUCGCUGCCCGAGCUACUACACCAAAUCCCCGAAGUACUAUUCUUCCCCGAGAUACGCCAUUAAAGGGUCGAGUACUACACCGAGGCCCCUAUUUACUACACCACUACAUAUCAUGUCGUAUAAAAGGAGAGAAGGCGAUAGAUAUCUGUCGAAUGGUUAUCACCGGCAUGGCAACAACUAAUAGUGCAGUAGUCGUCACCAACUGCAUUCUUCGUCGUACCACCAGUUUUGCAAUCAUUGCACGACGCCGCCGUCUUACUAUGGAACAUCAACAUACGACACGACCAGUUAUUACACCGAGGCCCCCAAGUACUACACCACCAAGGAACCAUAGUGUUACACAACUACAAAUGCCGCGCCAGCUUUAAUCAUUGUUAUCUAUGGCGUGCUGCUGUUGGGUGUUGAAUCGUUGAUGGCUGGAUUGACAGCUGGUGUGCCGAUGUCUCCUGGGUAUGGCGGGUAUCAAACCACAACGCCGGCGUCUGACUGCACGACAACAUACGGAAUGACCAGUUACUACACUGAGGCCUCCAUGUACUACACCACCAAUGUUCCAGAUUGUUAUACAAAAACAUAAGCUUUCUCGAGUUACUACGCAGAAGCCCCGAAGUAUUAUUCUACCCCGAGCUCUUUCACCAAGUCACCGGAGUAUUACACAACUACGUAUGCAGCGCCAGCUUACUACACCGAGGCUACCAAAUACUACUCUGCUCUUAACUACUGCACCGAGGCUCUAGCUUAUCACACCACCAACGGUCGAAAUCUACACAAAAGUGCCAAAGUACUACUCUGUCCCGAGCUACACAUCUCUAACUGAGGUGGCCAAGUAUUACGUAUCCUUAAUUAACCAACCGCUGCCCCUUCGUAUUAUGCUGAACCGAAAUACUACACUGAAGCCCCAGUUUACUACACCACAACCUACGCUACACCCUGCUACUACACCGAAGCUCUGAAGCAGUACACUACGAAGGGACCCGAGUACUAUGCCACUACAUACGAUGCUCCGACCUACUACACCGAAGCUCUGAAGUGUUACUCUGCCUCCAGUUACUACACCGUCAAGUCAUCUGAACGUUACACCACGACCUACGCUUCUCCAACUUACUACAGGGAGGUUCCUAACUAUUAGAGCCAAAUUUGUUUUAUUUAUCUGUGUAUAGGUUUUCUGUCGUAUCAUAAUAGUUACUUGUCGCUGGUAAUUGUUGUUGUUCUUAAAUUAGAAAAUAUACGUAUUAAAGCGGGUAA
RNAcentral lists this long non-coding RNA (2655 nucleotides) under Daphnia pulex (common water flea). Its description in RNAcentral is "uncharacterized LOC124198650, transcript variant X3". Lineage: Eukaryota; Metazoa; Arthropoda; Branchiopoda; Diplostraca; Daphniidae. The record is from RNAcentral.